CCUACGUGGUGCAGCAGUGAGGAAUAUUGGUCAAUGGACGCAAGUCUGAACCAGCCAUGCCGCGUGCAGGAAGACGGCUCUAUGAGUUGUAAACUGCUUUUGUACGAGGGUAAACGCAGAUACGCGUAUCUGUCUGAAAGUCUCGUACGAAUAAGGAUCGGCUAACUCCGUGCAAGCAGCCGCGGUAAUACGGAGGAUUCAAGCGUUAUCCGGAUUUAGUGGGUUUAAAGGGUGCGUAGGCGGUCGGAUAAGUUAGAGGUGAAAUCCCGGGGCUCAACUUCGGCAUUGCCUCUGAUACUGUCGGGCUAGAGAGUAGUUGCGGUAGGCGGAAUGUAUGGUGUAGCGGUGAAAUGCAUAGAGAUCAUACAGAACACCGAUUGCGAAGGCAGCUUACCAAGCUACGACUGACGUUGAGGCACGAAAGCGUGGGGAGCAAACAGGAUUAGAUACCCGUGUAGUC
RNAcentral lists this ribosomal RNA (460 nucleotides) under uncultured bacterium. Its description in RNAcentral is "partial 16S ribosomal RNA". It matches the Rfam family "Bacterial small subunit ribosomal RNA", at positions 338 to 795 of the family's 1533-position model. The record is from RNAcentral.